This 376-nucleotide ribosomal RNA is filed under the name uncultured organism. RNAcentral describes it as "partial 16S ribosomal RNA". It matches the Rfam family "Bacterial small subunit ribosomal RNA", at positions 525 to 896 of the family's 1533-position model. The record is from RNAcentral.
GUAGGGUGGGCAAGCGUUGUCCGGAAUUAUUGGGCGUAAAGCGCGCGCAGGGCGGUCCUUUAAGUCUGAUGUGAAAGCCCACGGCUCAACCGUGGAGGGUCAUUGGAAACUGGGGGGACUUGAGUACAGAAGAGGAAAGCGGAAUUCCAAGUGUAGCGGUGAAAUGCGUAGAGAUUUGGAGGAACACCAGUGGCGAAGGCGGCUUUCUGGUCUGUAACUGACGCUGAGGCGCGAAAGCGUGGGGAGCAAACAGGAUUAGAUACCCUGGUAGUCCACGCCGUAAACGAUGAGUGCUAAGUGUUAGGGGGUUUCCGCCCCUUAGUGCUGCAGCUAACGCAUUAAGCACUCCGCCUGGGGAGUACGGCCGCAAAGGCUG